This is a long non-coding RNA of Panicum virgatum (switchgrass), 1446 nucleotides long. RefSeq lists it as uncharacterized. NCBI's taxonomy places the organism in Eukaryota, Viridiplantae, Streptophyta, Magnoliopsida, Poales, Poaceae. The transcript has 2 exons. The record is from RefSeq and is a predicted model, not a curated record.
CUAUGCAAAAAGUUUUAUAAAUAGACUUCAUUUAGUACUUCAUGCAUGUGUUGAAAUAUUCGAUGUGAUGGUUUUUUUUGUGUUUACGGGGUUUAUGGGGUGGGAAAAUAGGGCCAUGUUAGCAAACUACUCUACUCCGUAGCUAUAUAGGAGUUUUGAGAGAGUUGGACGACCUCCCCUCCCCUCCCCUCCCCUCCCCUCCCCUGCCCUAUCAUCUACUGGCAUUAUCUAAACGACAGGUGCUAGCUAGUGUAGAAGAGUAGGGGGUACCCCACUAGCCCGCGGCGCCCUUCAUUCAAACGAGAUGCACUUGUGCGUAGUUUGCGGAAGUAGAUGCAUGCUUAAUAAAAUUCUUACAUUGCCCUUAAAACGUCCCGAUUGCUCAAUACUACCUCCGUCCCAUACUCCCAUAGUAUAGCUACUUUUAGAUUUUCUCCGAGUCAAAUCGUUUAAACUUUGACCUAGAUGGCAAAAACAAAAAAGACGGAUAACAUAAAAGUGAUAUCAAGUUAUUCAUAAUAAAGUCAACUACCACAACAUGUAACAUUUUCUAUUUGAAGAUAAUUAUUUUUGAAGAUAUUAUUGGUCUGUUGACUUUAACCAAAUUAAAAAGUUGUUAUAUUUUGGGGCGACGGUAGUUAUAUAUAUGUGUCAACACUAAUGCAAAUCUCAAAACUUGUCACAUGCACGUAAAUAAUUGGGGCUUUUGCGUUUAUACCCCUAUUUUAAGUGAUAAUGGUGAUUUUGCCCCUAUUUUUUUAACUUGGUGAUUUUGCCCCUGCUUUUUUAAACUGAAGAUUUAGUUUACCCCUAUUUUAUUAGAAAAAGCUAAUGGCGUCAAUUUAACUGCAAAAGAAAAACUUUAUGUCCAACCACAUUCAGCAAAUCUGUCUGCAUAAGCAUACUCGACCGCCCUAUGUGUGCUCACCGGCCGCUGCGAAUGCUAGUUUGCUGCCAUUGGCCACAGAAGCUGCUAGGGUUAGAAGGGAGGUGGAGGUGGUGCAAAGGAGCAGGAGAGUUUUAGAUAGUUACCUAGGGUUGGGAUGGUUGAAUAAGGGGUACUUACAUAUUUUUAUGAUUUUUUUUUUAAAAUUUAUUACCUUUUAAAUUCAUUUAACAGAGGUACACUUAAAAAACACUCAAAGUAGGGGCAAAUAGAAGCUUCAUUUUUGAAACGUGAGGGUAAAAUCACAAAGUUACAAAAAGAAGGGUAAAAACACAAUUGGCUUCCUCGGCAAGGGUAAAAACACCAAUUUCCCUAAAUAAUAAAUUCCCAUAUAUACAGGUAUAUAUGGUACUGAAAAAAAAUCAGUUCUUCAUUAUAACAUUCAAACUGAGAUGAGGCGUGGCAGAGAGUUAGUUGUUUACUCCUAUCAUCAUCGAAUAAUACAACCGACUCCUUAAUUUCUAGCCAACCACGCGCUAUUCGUUAUCUUCCGCCAACAA